This 207-nucleotide ribosomal RNA is filed under the name uncultured bacterium. Its description in RNAcentral is "partial 16S ribosomal RNA". It matches the Rfam family "Bacterial small subunit ribosomal RNA", at positions 568 to 774 of the family's 1533-position model. The record is from RNAcentral.
UGUGUAGGCGGUUAUGUAAGAUAGCGGUGAAAUCCCGGGGCUUAACCUCGGAAUAGCCGUUAUAACUAUGUAUCUAGAGUUAUGGAGAGGAUAGCGGAAUACCCAGUGUAGAGGUGAAAUUCGUAGAUAUUGGGUAGAACACCGGUGGCGAAGGCGGCUAUCUGGCCAUAUACUGACGCUGAGGCACGAAAGCAUGGGGAUCAAACA